Molecule: transfer RNA, 85 nt
Filed under: Felis catus (domestic cat)
Lineage: Eukaryota; Metazoa; Chordata; Mammalia; Carnivora; Felidae
Also listed under: 5 other names
Rfam family: tRNA
About the family: Transfer RNA (tRNA) molecules are approximately 80 nucleotides in length.
Source: Rfam by way of RNAcentral
GCCUGGGUGGCUCAGUUGGUUCAGCGUCUGACUUUGGCUCAGGUCAUGAUCUCAUGGUUCAUGGGUUCGAGUCCCACAUCAGGCU